RNAcentral lists this ribosomal RNA (296 nucleotides) under uncultured bacterium. RNAcentral's name for it is "partial 16S ribosomal RNA". The record is from RNAcentral.
GGACUACUGGGGUAUCUAAUCCCAUUCGCUACCCACGCUUUCGUCCUAGCAGUGUCAGGUGGCACCCAGAAGCCUGCCUUCGCUAUUGGUGUUCCAAACGAUAUCAACGCAUUUCACUACUACACCGUUUGUUCCAGCUUCCUCUUUGCCCCUCUAGUUUUGAAGUUUCAAAGGACAGUCACGAAGUUGAGCUUCGUGAUUUCACCUCUGACUUUCAAAACCACCUAUCGGUACGCUUUACGCCCAAUGAUUCCGGAUAACGCUUGAGGUCUCUGUAUUACCGCGGCUGCUGGCAC